Molecule: unclassified non-coding RNA, 353 nt
Filed under: soil metagenome
Description: partial contains 5.8S ribosomal RNA, internal transcribed spacer 2, and large subunit ribosomal RNA
Rfam family: 5.8S ribosomal RNA (bases 1-120)
Source: RNAcentral
GAUGAAGAACGCAGCGAAAUGCGAUAAGUAAUGUGAAUUGCAGAAUUCAGUGAAUCAUCGAAUCUUUGAACGCACAUUGCGCCCGCCAGUAUUCUGGCGGGCAUGCCUGUUCGAGCGUCAUUACAACCCUCAGGCCCCCGGGCCUGGCGUUGGGGAUCGGCGGAAGCCCCCUGCGGGCACAACGCCGUCCCCCAAAUACAGUGGCGGUCCCGCCGCAGCUUCCAUUGCGUAGUAGCUAACACCUCGCAACUGGAGAGCGGCGCGACCACGCCGUAAAACACCCAACUUCUGAAUGUUGACCUCGAAUCAGGUAGGAAUACCCGCUGAACUUAAGCAUAUCAAUAAGCGGAGGA